AUUGAACGCUGGCGGCAGGCCUAACACAUGCAAGUCGAGCGGAGCGGCGGACGGGUGAGUAAUGCCUAGGAAGCUGCCUGGUAGUGGGGGAUAACGUCCGGCAACGGGCGCUAAUAACGCAGACUAUCCGAUGAGACUAGGUCGGAUUAGCUAGUUGGUUGGGUAAGGGCCCACCAAGGCGACGAUCCGUAACUGGUCUGAGAGGAUGAUCAGUCACACUUGAACGGAGACACGGUCCAGACUCCUACGGGAGGCAGCAGUGGGGAAUAUUGGACAAUGGGCGAAAGCCUGAUCCAGCCAUGCCGCGUGUGUGAAGAAGGUCUUCGGAUUGUAAAGCACUUUAAGUUGGGAGGCGUUACCAACAGAAGAAGCACCGGCUAACUUCGUGCCAGCAGCCGCGGUAAUUC
This 407-nucleotide ribosomal RNA is filed under the name uncultured bacterium. Its description in RNAcentral is "partial 16S ribosomal RNA". It matches the Rfam family "Bacterial small subunit ribosomal RNA", at positions 30 to 526 of the family's 1533-position model. The record is from RNAcentral.